This 465-nucleotide ribosomal RNA is filed under the name Vreelandella stevensii. RNAcentral describes it as "partial 16S ribosomal RNA". It matches the Rfam family "Bacterial small subunit ribosomal RNA", at positions 338 to 795 of the family's 1533-position model. Lineage: Bacteria; Pseudomonadati; Pseudomonadota; Gammaproteobacteria; Oceanospirillales; Halomonadaceae. The record is from RNAcentral.
CCUACGGGCGGCAGCAGUGGGGAAUAUUGGACAUUGGGGGGAACCCUGAUCCAGCCAUGCCGCGUGUGUGAAGAAGGCCCUCGGGUUGUAAAGCACUUUCAGUGAGGAAGAACGCCUGGUGGUUAAUACCCAUCAGGAAAGACAUCACUCACAGAAGAAGCACCGGCUAACUCCGUGCCAGCAGCCGCGGUAAUACGGAGGGUGCGAGCGUUAAUCGGAAUUACUGGGCGUAAAGCGCGCGUAGGUGGCUUGAUAAGCCGGUUGUGAAAGCCCCGGGCUCAACCUGGGAACGGCAUCCGGAACUGUCAAGCUAGAGUGCAGGAGAGGAAGGUAGAAUUCCCGGUGUAGCGGUGAAAUGCGUAGAGAUCGGGAGGAAUACCAGUGGCGAAGGCGGCCUUCUGGACUGACACUGACACUGAGGUGCGAAAGCGUGGGUAGCAAACAGGAUUAGAUACCCUGGUAGUC